AUGAACGCUGGCGGCGUGCCUAAUACAUGCAAGUCGAGCGAACGGACGAGAAGCUUGCUUCUCUGAUGUUAGCGGCGGACGGGUGAGUAACACGUGGAUAACCUACCUAUAAGACUGGGAUAACUUCGGGAAACCGUAGCUAAUACCGGAUAAUAUUUUGAACCGCAUGGUUCAAAAGUGAAAGACGGUCUUGCUGUCACUUAUAGAUGGAUCCGCGCUGCAUUAGCUAGUUGGUAAGGUAACGGCUUACCAAGGCAACGAUGCAUAGCCGACCUGAGAGGGUGAUCGGCCACACUGGAACUGAGACACGGUCCAGACUCCUACGGGAGGCAGCAGUAGGGAAUCUUCCGCAAUGGGCGAAAGCCUGACGGAGCAACGCCGCGUGAGUGAUGAAGGUCUUCGGAUCGUAAAACUCUGUUAGUAGGGAAGAACAUAUGUGUAAGUAACUGUGCACAUCUUGACGGUACCUAAUCAGAAAGCCACGGCUAACUACGUG
Molecule: ribosomal RNA, 496 nt
Filed under: uncultured bacterium
Lineage: Bacteria
Description: partial 16S ribosomal RNA
Rfam family: Bacterial small subunit ribosomal RNA
Source: RNAcentral